AGAAGCGGACAAGCAAACAGCGGAUGUGCAGUUCCUCUCUUCGCCGAACCCGGUUUUCCCUUUCGGAGCAGCGCGACCGAUUUCCGGUUUCCCCGCCGCAACCACCGUUACCCCCCCCCCGCCCCAAUCCCCGGCGACUCCAGCGACGUCACCGGUUCAGCUCCUGACCUUUCGGCGAACCGCAGAACCACAGGCGACCCGUUCGACGUCAUCACUCCCCGCCCAGAUGUCGCUGUGACAUCACCCCGCACGUGCCUGCGCUGGCACCGCGUCGUCCUGGCGAGCGCCUCCUCGCGGCGGAAGGAGAUCCUGGGGUUCGCUGUGCGAGACAUGUCGGCGGGGUUUCACGUGAGUGACACUUGGUCCCCACGGGAUUGACAGCGACUAGCGGAGUGGCAUGUGGACGUAGCUUCAGGUGACCUCACUGACCCCGCCCCUGACUCCACCCCUUGUGAUGACCCCACCACUGACCCACAGGCCUUGGAGGGGCUGAUCCUGGAGAAGUCAAAGGACCAGGAGGACGCCAUGGGGGGUGCUGUACAGGAGGAGCUGAUCCACGACUACUUGGACAACAGCACACCAGCGAAGGAUGGGACAAGGCCUGGGGCCUCCGCCAUCCAUGCGUGGGGAGUGAUGCUGGUAGAGGGCAAAUUGGUGACGUCAUCAAUGCAGCGGGCUUCCCACUCAACCACUUUAGCCGCAAGCUUGCAAGGGCAGCUGCCAGAGACAGGAAGUGACAUCGCUGUGGAGAGGGCAGCAGGAAGUGAGGUGGAAGAAAAGUGUUUUGAAACUGACCCUACAGAUAAAAGAGUUCAUCAUGAAUGCGAUACCCUCCUAUACAGUUGUUAGAAGCAACCCUCCAUCUCCAACUCCAAAAAUAAAUGAAAACCAAACCACACAGUUGGAAAUCAGCAAGAAGAGAACCGGAUGGUGGAUGGCAGCAGAUGGACAGGAGAGCACUCAGCAGCACUUGCUCUUCCAGCCCGUCACGCCUCCUCCACUGCUGAUAUCUACGUUUUCACUGUUGGGUUCUUUUACAGGGGUCUGCAACAACACAAGGAAGCAAGCAACCCGUGAGAAAGCACUGGCAUGGAUGAAAACAGACUCACUGGAAAGAUGCAAAGCAAUGUCAGGUUACACAACAAAAGGCAAUUACAGUCAUAUGAGGGAGUGUUCGAAAAGUUGUAAUUUGAAAACUGUUUUUGGUUGUCCUUUAGUUGGCCUCCUCUGUAAAUUGUGACAGACAUCUCCUGACAACACUUAAAGCAUCUCAAACCAUCCUUGCCCUGAUCUAUGAGUUCUCAGAACAGAAGGACUACUGAGCCAGGCGUGGUAGCACAUGCCUGUGAUCCUACAACUCAGAAGACAGAAGAGGAAUUCUAGGUCAGCCUGGGCUAGACAGACAGCAAGACUCUUGUUUUGUUUUGAAAGGCUGGUGAGGUAGUUCAGCGGGUUAACUGCCUGGUCUAAGCCCAGUGACGUGAGUUUGUGUGCUGUGGAGCUUCUGCAAACCCUGCCCCUGCCAAAUAAAAACUCGUAAUUUAUAACUCACAAAAA
Molecule: long non-coding RNA, 1557 nt
Filed under: Mus musculus (house mouse)
Lineage: Eukaryota; Metazoa; Chordata; Mammalia; Rodentia; Muridae
Description: RAB10, member RAS oncogene family, opposite strand
Source: RNAcentral